AUGCCAGGUGUUCCCAGGGGACUGGCUGAGCAUCGCCUAAGAGUCGACUCGUCUACAAAACCAGUCAAAGAGCAUCUUCGGCGGUCCGCCGUCCAGAAGAGAAAGGCCAUCGGAGAAGAAGUGGCUCGACUGUUGGCGGCAGGAUUUAUCCGAGAGAUAUACCACUCCGAGUGGCUCGCUAAUGUCGUCAUGGUUCCUAAGAAGGACAAGUCGCUCCGAAUGUGCAUUGAUUUCAAGCACAUCAACCGGGCCUGCCCGAAAGAUCACUUUCCUCUCCCUCGCAUAGAUCAAAUUGUUGACUCGACCGCGGGAUGCGAGAGGUUGUCUUUUUUAGAUGCUUACUCCGGGUACCACCAGAUCCGUCUGUACGGGCCCGAUGAGAUAAAAACAGCUUUCAUCACUCCAUUCGGGUGCUUCUGCUAUAUCACCAUGCCAUUCGGCCUCAAGAAUGCCGGAGCCACAUUUAUGCGAAUGAUUCAGAAGUGUCUACUCACCCAAAUCAGUCGGAAUGUGGAAGCUUAUAUGGAUGAUAUUGUUGUCAAGUCACGAAAAGGUUCCGACCUGCUCGCUGACCUCGCCGAAACAUUUGCCAACCUUAGAAGGUAUGAUAUCAAGCUCAAUCCAUCAAAGUGCACAUUUGGAGUUUCUGGUGGCAAGUUACUCGGUUUUCUCGUUUCCGAACGGGGAAUCGACGCUAACCCAGAGAAGAUUGGCACUAUUCUCCGAAUGAAACGCCCUGUGCGAGUGCACGAUGUCCAGAAGCUUACUGGAUGCUUGGCCGCAUUAAGUCGAUUCAUCUCACGACUCGGUGAAAAGGCACUGCCUCUUUACCGACUGAUGAAGAAGGCUGACAAGUUCGAGUGGACUCCAGAAGCUGAUGCAGCGUUUGCCGAGCUAAAAGCUCUGCUCUCCACCCAGCCGGUGCUUGCUGCUCCAAUCAGCAAAGAGCCUCUGUUGCUCUACAUCGCAGCCACAGGACAAGUCGUCAGUACUGUGCUAACGGUCGAGCGGGAAGAAGAAGGAAAAGCUCUCAAAGUUCAGCGCCCAGUGUAUUAUUUGUCUGAAGUCUUGACU
Molecule: ribosomal RNA, 1074 nt
Filed under: Triticum aestivum (bread wheat)
Lineage: Eukaryota; Viridiplantae; Streptophyta; Magnoliopsida; Poales; Poaceae
Description: partial small subunit ribosomal RNA
Source: RNAcentral